GACGAACGCUGGCGGCGUGCUUAACACAUGCAAGUCGAACGGUGACAGGGAGCUUGCUCCCUCGAUCAGUGGCGAACGGGUGAGUAACACGUGAGUAACCUGCCCCAGACUCUGGGAUAACAUCGGGAAACCGGUGCUAAUACCGGAUAUGAGACGAGACUGCAUGGUCAUCGUCUGGAAAGAUUUAUCGGUCUGGGAUGGACUCGCGGCCUAUCAGCUAGUUGGUGAGGUAAUGGCUCACCAAGGCGACGACGGGUAGCCGGCCUGAGAGGGCGACCGGCCACACUGGAACUGAGACACGGUCCAGACUCCUACGGGAGGCAGCAGUGGGGAAUAUUGCACAAUGGGCGCAAGCCUGAUGCAGCGACGCCGCGUGGGGGAUGAAGGCCUUCGGGUUGUAAACCCCUUUCAGCAGGGAAGAAGCGAAAGUGACGGUACCUGCAGAAGAAGCGCCGGCUAACUACGUGCCAGCAGCCGCGGUAAUACGUAGGGCGCAAGCGUUGUCCGGAAUUAUUGGGCGUAAAGAGCUCGUAGGCGGUUUGUCGCGUCUGCUGUGAAAACCCGAGGCUCAACCUCGGGCCUGCAGUGGGUACGGGCAGACUAGAGUGUGGUAGGGGAGACUGGAAUUCCUGGUGUAGCGGUGGAAUGCGCAGAUAUCAGGAGGAACACCAAUGGCGAAGGCAGGUCUCUGGGCCACAACUGACGCUGAGGAGCGAAAGCGUGGGGAGCGAACAGGAUUAGAUACCCUGGUAGUCCACGCCGUAAACGGUGGGCACUAGAUGUGGGGCUCUUUCCAUGAGUUCCGCGUCGCAGCUAACGCAUUAAGUGCCCCGCCUGGGGAGUACGGCCGCAAGGCUAAAACUCAAAGGAAUUGACGGGGGCCCGCACAAGCGGCGGAGCAUGCGGAUUAAUUCGAUGCAACGCGAAGAACCUUACCAAGGCUUGACAUAUGCCGUUUAUCCCUAGAGAUAGGGAGUCCUUCGGGGCGGUAUACAGGUGGUGCAUGGUUGUCGUCAGCUCGUGUCGUGAGAUGUUGGGUUAAGUCCCGCAACGAGCGCAACCCUCGUUCUAUGUUGCCAGCGCGUAAUGGCGGGGACUCAUAGGAGACUGCCGGGGUCAACUCGGAGGAAGGUGGGGAUGACGUCAAAUCAUCAUGCCCCUUAUGUCUUGGGCUUCACGCAUGCUACAAUGGCCGGUACAAAGGGCUGCAAUACCGUAAGGUGGAGCGAAUCCCAAAAAGCCGGUCUCAGUUCGGAUUGAGGUCUGCAACUCGACCUCAUGAAGUCGGAGUCGCUAGUAAUCGCAGAUCAGCAACGCUGCGGUGAAUACGUUCCCGGGCCU
RNAcentral lists this ribosomal RNA (1341 nucleotides) under uncultured bacterium. RNAcentral describes it as "bacterial SSU rRNA". It matches the Rfam family "Bacterial small subunit ribosomal RNA", at positions 28 to 1381 of the family's 1533-position model. The record is from RNAcentral.